UGGUGUGUGUGGUGGUAGUGUGUGGUGGUAGUGUGUGUGGUGGUAGUGUGUGGUGGUAGUGUGUGUGGUGGUGGUGUGUUGGUGGUAGUGUGUGUGGUGGUAGUGUGUGUGGUGGUAGUGUGUGUGGUGUUGUGUGUGGUGGUAGUGUGUGGUGGUAGUGUGUGGUGGUAGUGUGUGUGGUGUGUGGUGGUAAUGUGUGUGGUGGUAGUGUGUGGUAGUGUGUGUGGUAGUAGUGUGUGGUGGUAGUGUGUGGUGUGUGUGUGUGUGGUGGUGUGUGUGGUGGUAGUGUGUGUGGUGGUAGUGUGUGGUAGUGUGUGUCGUGGUAGUGUGUGUGGUGGUAGUGUGUGUAAGGUGUGUGGCGAUGGAAGAGGUAAACCACUGAGGUGUUUAAAUAGCUAUAAUUGUGAUGUCAUACUAAUUAUUGGAGAGAAUUAAUUACCCUCACAUUUCCUCUGGG
Molecule: long non-coding RNA, 457 nt
Organism: Oncorhynchus tshawytscha (Chinook salmon)
Lineage: Eukaryota; Metazoa; Chordata; Actinopteri; Salmoniformes; Salmonidae
Source: Ensembl